Molecule: ribosomal RNA, 519 nt
Filed under: uncultured eukaryote
Lineage: Eukaryota
Description: SSU rRNA
Rfam family: Eukaryotic small subunit ribosomal RNA
Source: RNAcentral
AGGGCACCACCAGGAGUGGAGCUUGCGGUUUAAUUUGACUCAACACGGGGAAACUUACCCGGCCCGGACACUGGAAGGAUUGACAGAUUGAGAGCUCUUUCUUGAUUCAGUGGGUGGUGGUGCAUGGCCGUUCUUAGUUGGUGGAGCGAUUUGUCUGGUUAAUUCCGAUAACGAACGAGACUCUAGCCUAUUAAAUAGGCUGCUGGUUUUAUAACACCGGCAGGACUUCUUAGAGGGACAGGUGGCGGUUCAGCCGCACGAAAGAGAGCAAUAACAGGUCUGUGAUGCCCUUUGAUGUCCGGGGCCACACGUGUGCUACACUGAAGAGAUCAGCAUGCGUGAUAUUCCUGCUCCGACCGGAGUGGGGAACCCAGUGAAACCUCUUCGUGAUUGGGGUAGAAAGAUUGAAAUUAUUCUUCUUGAACGAGGAAUUCCAAGUAAAUGCGAGUCAUAGGCUCGCGUUGAUUACGUCCCUGCCCUUUGUACACACCGCCCGUCGCUACUACCGAUUGAACGAUU